AUUUUCAGUUUUCCUCGGUAGUUUACUGCCGAAGUUUUCCUCGGCAGUUAACUGUCGAGGGACAU
This is a microRNA precursor of Medicago truncatula (barrel medic), 65 nucleotides long. It matches the Rfam family "MIR2629 microRNA precursor family". NCBI's taxonomy places the organism in Eukaryota, Viridiplantae, Streptophyta, Magnoliopsida, Fabales, Fabaceae. The record is from Rfam.